Non-coding RNA from Cinara cedri, 878 nucleotides. The record is from the annotation of a GenBank genome assembly. NCBI's taxonomy places the organism in Eukaryota, Metazoa, Arthropoda, Insecta, Hemiptera, Aphididae.
UUUAAAUUGAAUUUUAAUCCUAAAUUUAUUUAAUUUAUUACUUGACUGCAGACAUGUAUGCAUAGUAUUAGCAUUGAUUAUAGAUAAGUCUAUAAUCAAUGGUACAUAUUAGUACAAAUAUGCACAUAUAUUUGUGAGGUGUUAACUACAUUUCUUUAUUAUAUGUCUAUGUUCAAAAAUAGUAUGUCAUAUUGCCAAUCUCCCUAAUAAUAAUAUUAUUAGCACAACUAGGGUAAAAUUAUUUGGAGUGCUAUGCAACCUAAUUUAUACAAUCAAUAAUCGUAUAUACUAGACACUAGAUUUAUUUUUAUAGAUAUACAAAUUUCAACCCAGAAAUGGUGAAUAACUGGUUAUCCACUUUUAAAACCAGGUAUUUUCUGGGAAAACAUCAAAAUGGUUGGUGAAAGGGUGAAUGUAGAAAGGUCAGUUACCCUGGCACCACAAUAGAAAACUGUUGACUUCAAAAAACUGACUGGUAUUAUGUAAUAUAUUAUUUAUCAAUUUGUAACCGCAAAAAAAAAUGUUGUUACUGCUCUAGAACGCCAGAAAAUCAAUUUUUUUUCUAGUGGUGUCAGGGUAUUAAUAUUAAAUACAAAUUUUAUAAAAGAUAUCACAAGAUACAAAUACAUACAUUGAUAAAUUUUGUUUAGACCACCAAACAUAUAGUUUAUUCAACUAAACAAAAGACUAGAGAAUUGAGAUGUUAAUAAACAUCUACGUCUAUUUCCAUCCCAAAUUGGUAACAUAUUAGACAAGUUCGCAGAUAAUACCUAUAAAAGUUAAGCAUUAUUUAUAAAUACAAUUGUUCUACAAUUUACCAUUGUUGUAUAAUGGUACAAGCCAUAAGGCAAAUUACUUUCAAAUCUUUGUAUAGAACA